UACGAAGGGGGCUAGCGUUGUUCGGAAUUACUGGGCGUAAAGGGCGCGUAGGCGGUGUGUCAAGUCAGGCGUGAAAGCCCCGGGCUCAACCUGGGAACAGCGCUUGAGACUGGCACGCUCGAGUUCGGGAGAGGAUGGUGGAAUUCCCAGUGUAGAGGUGAAAAUUCGUAGAUAUUGGGAAGAACACCGAUGGCGAAGGCAGCCAUCUGGACCGACACUGACGCUGAGGCGCGAAAGCGUGGGGAGCAAACAGG
RNAcentral lists this ribosomal RNA (254 nucleotides) under uncultured bacterium. RNAcentral's name for it is "partial 16S ribosomal RNA". It matches the Rfam family "Bacterial small subunit ribosomal RNA", at positions 524 to 776 of the family's 1533-position model. The record is from RNAcentral.